GUUCUGGUAGCUUAAAUUAACCUAAAGCCUUGGCUUUGUAAACCAAAGAUGAGAAAUAUCCUCCCAGAACA
This 71-nucleotide transfer RNA is filed under the name Eremias scripta (Sand racerunner). Its description in RNAcentral is "tRNA-Thr". It matches the Rfam family "tRNA". Rfam says of the family: Transfer RNA (tRNA) molecules are approximately 80 nucleotides in length. Their secondary structure includes four short double-helical elements and three loops (D, anti-codon, and T loops). Lineage: Eukaryota; Metazoa; Chordata; Lepidosauria; Squamata; Lacertidae. The record is from RNAcentral.